GAUGAACGCUGGCGGCGUGCCUAAUACAUGCAAGUCGAGCGAACAGACGAGGGGCUUGCUCCUCUGACGUUAGCGGCGGACGGGUGAGUAACACGUGGAUAACCUACCUAUAAGACUGGGAUAACUUCGGGAAACCGGAGCUAAUACCGGAUAAUAUAUUGAACCGCAUGGUUCAAUAGUGAAAGACGGUUUUGCUGUCACUUAUAGAUGGAUCCGCGCCGCAUUAGCUAGUUGGUAAGGUAACGGCUUACCAAGGCAACGAUGCGUAGCCGACCUGAGAGGGUGAUCGGCCACACUGGAACUGAGACACAGUCCCGACUCCGACGGGAGGCAGCGGUAGGGAAUCUUCCGCAAUGGGCGAAAGCCUGACGGAGCAACGCCGCGUGAGUGAUGAAGGUCUUCUGAUCGUAAAACUCUGUUAUUAGGGAAGAAGAAAUGUGUAAGUAACUAUGAACGUCUUGACAGUACCUAAUCAGAAAGCCACGGCUAACUACGUG
Molecule: ribosomal RNA, 497 nt
Filed under: uncultured bacterium
Lineage: Bacteria
Description: partial 16S ribosomal RNA
Rfam family: Bacterial small subunit ribosomal RNA
Source: RNAcentral